RNAcentral lists this ribosomal RNA (861 nucleotides) under Amanita chiui. Its description in RNAcentral is "eukaryotic LSU rRNA". It matches the Rfam family "Eukaryotic large subunit ribosomal RNA", at positions 82 to 904 of the family's 3401-position model. Lineage: Eukaryota; Fungi; Basidiomycota; Agaricomycetes; Agaricales; Amanitaceae. The record is from RNAcentral.
AGUAACUGCGAGUGAAGCGGGAUAAGCUCAAAUUUGAAAUCUGGCAGUCUUUUUUUUCUUCUUUGGCUGUCCGAGUUGUAAUCUAGAGAAGUGCUUACCUGCGCUGGACCAUGUAUAAGUCUCCUGGAAUGGAGCCUCACAGAGGGUGAGAAUCCCGUCUUUGACAUGGACUGCCAGUGUGUUGUGGUGUGCUCUCAAAGAGUCGAGUUGUUUGGGAAUGCAGCUCUAAAUGGGUGGUAAACUCCAUCUAAAGCUAAAUAUUGGCGAGAGACCGAUAGUGAACAAGUACCGUGAGGGAAAGAUGAAAAGGACUUUGGAAAGAGAGUUAAACAGUAUGUGAAAUUGUUGAAAGGGAAACGCUUGAAGUCAGUUAUGUUGUCUAGGGAUCAACCCAGCUAUUUUUGCUGGGUGAAUUUCCUAGCCUGACAGGCCAACAUCAGUCUUGACUGCUGGAAAAGAGCAGAGGGAAUGUGGCACCUUUGGGUGUGUUAUAGCCCUUCGUCAUAUGUGGCAGUUGGGACUGAGGGAUGCAGCAUGCCAUGAGGCUGGGUUUCUGACCACGUUCAUGCUUAGGAUGUUGGCUUUUAAUGGCUUCAAUCGACCCGUCUUGAAACACGGACCAAGGAGUCCAACAUGCCUGCGAGUGUUUGGGUUGGGGAAAACCCUUUUGCACAAUGAAAGUGAAAGUUGAGAUCCCUGUCAUGGGGAGCAUCGACGCCCGGACCUGAGCUUUUAGUGACGGAUCUGCGGUAGAGCAUGCAUGUUGGGACCCGAAAGAUGGUGAACUAUGCCUGAAUAGGGCAAAGCCAGAGGAAACUCUGGUGGAGGCUCGUAGCGAUUCUGUACGUGCAGAAUCGAUCG